Scophthalmus maximus (turbot) is the source of this 2142-nucleotide long non-coding RNA. RefSeq lists it as uncharacterized. Lineage: Eukaryota; Metazoa; Chordata; Actinopteri; Pleuronectiformes; Scophthalmidae. The record is from RefSeq and is a predicted model, not a curated record. The transcript has 3 exons.
CGCCCCGGUCUGCGCUGGGUCCUAGAGCCGGGACAAUUCGAUUCAGUCCGCGGUUUAAUUCAAAUCUUUUAGACAGGAUUCAGUGAAACCCAAAAAAACCAAACAAGUAACCUAACCCUAACUCAAAGCAAGAGACUCUGCUUAAGAUGUCAGUCACCUCUACAGGCUACAUGUGGACUUGUGGUCCCAAGCUGUGCUCAGAAGUCUCCUCUCUUAUUACAAUGUCAUCCCUCGUUUGGAGUGCUGUGACAAAGGCCCCUUUCACAGGCGCUGCGCGUCUCCUGAGUUCGAUUAGCUUGGAAUUCCACUGUUCCGGAUGGGAGGUUCCAGAGGCCUUGAGGCAGAUGGGAGGCCAACGACGAAACAAGGUUCUCUCUCCUUCGCAGAACUGCACCAAUGACAGAGUCAAGGAUCUGGUCCAGAAGUCUCUGCAAAACAAGAAAAAACAGCAAUGGUUUCGAUGACUUACUACCCACCCCCACCCCCCAAAAAAAGACAGAACAAAAACAAAUCUAUCUGCACUCGGACCUCCCUUCGCUCAAUCUUGAGAGCAGCUCUGCAGCACACAGGCGCGACACCUGCUGCUAAAUUGGCUUUCACUUCAAUCAGCCCCGCUCCUGAGGUGGUUAAGCUCGGUUAGGGGGAAUAAUUCUAACUUGCUAUCUGACCAAACACCCUGCUAUGCAAUCACCCUCCUCUUACAGUACCACCAAACAGCUGGAAUCUCAUUUCAGCCAGCGUUCAUAACCCCCCCCCCCCCCCCCCCCCCACUUUCAGACCCUACUAUGAAUCUUUUCUUUGUGCGUUUUGGAGACCCUUUCGGCCGAGAAAAUGAGACCGUGUUUAUCAGGGAGCAGCACGCUCCUUUACUCCCGAUCUCACUCUGGUUGAGUCUGGCUAAUAGUUUCAUUUGAGAGGUGUCAAGGUCACACUGGCAUCUCAACAGUCGUGCCUGCUCCAUUUCCCCGAGGAAUGAAACAUUCUUUUUCAGAGCCAUGGCUGCUGUCAUUAAACCAGUCAGUGUAAAUGUACUGUAGAUGUGCUGUUUCCUUGUAAAUUAAAGUUGUUGAAAAAAUAAUGCAAAACCCUUUUUUUUCAGAGGAUACAUCUAUCACAAUGUCCUAGUUCACACUAAACACUGGCAAAUGAGAGCGAGGCCAAUCGUCUUUAGAUUAUCUUGAAAAAUGUGUGAGUAAAAACACACACACAAACGCUAACACGCCACCGGAAGUUCCUAUUGCUGUGUUAUUAUCUGUGAAACAUCUCUUCACAUUUCCUACUUGUCAUCUGACAGUGAAUUCAUUGUUGUGUUGGGUUACAAUGAGAGAGUGAGUGAAGGCUCGCCCACUGGUGAAACUGAAAGGAUCCAACACGGCCUGCCCUAAAUAUAUCAUGUAUUCACCAAAUGUUGCCCGUUGAAGCAGAUUCUGGGCAACAUGUUAGCAGGGCCUAAAAUAAACGAUUUAAUAAGUGAGCUUUGCUUCCCUAAGCCAAAAUUACACACAGGCCCACAGAGUGAAAUGGGCUUAAAUGUGAUGCAGUAAAGGUUUAGUUGUGACAUGAAUUAUAAGAAGCUUUAGUAUUUUUUCUGAUUCUGGUUUUGAAGAAAGCUCCAGAAACUGAAAAGUAAAUGAUGUCAGGAAAGUGAAACAGACCCAAAUAUUGAUUGCACAUUUAAUUUGGCGACAGUCCAGUGUUAUGAAUGACAGAGGACCCAGAUUUGACAGUCAAACAGUGACCUCUGCUGGACGACAAUCAAACUAUGUUUCAUAACUAUGAACGGUGCUUUGAUAGCUUUUGAUGGUUCACUUGCUCACAUUAAGUUAAAUAAUCAAAAUAAUGUUAAUAAAUAUGUUUUCUGGUCCUGUUUAUUUAGUUUUCUGUUACGUGUCUGUCUUGUAACCUCAUGUUGUAAAGAAGUGUUCCCCCCCAAAAAAAUACUUUAUUGUUGCCAUAACAUAUACUGUACUAUACUGUACAUAAUUAGGCAACAAGUUUUCAGCCUGGUUUAGUGAAAAGUGUAUAUUCAUAUUGUCUGUGUUCUGUGUAAAGGUUAACUGUAAUAUCAUGUGUCAACAGUGAAAAGCAAGAAAGAAAAAUUUAAAUAAAAAGUUUAACCCAUCUGUCCUCCUCCUGGGUGAU